Physeter macrocephalus (sperm whale) is the source of this 1122-nucleotide long non-coding RNA. RefSeq lists it as uncharacterized. The record is from RefSeq and is a predicted model, not a curated record. NCBI's taxonomy places the organism in Eukaryota, Metazoa, Chordata, Mammalia, Artiodactyla, Physeteridae. The transcript has 6 exons.
GUGCCAGCGCCGGCAGCUUCCCGGGACUGGGACGAGGAUUCAAGAAAGGGUGGGGGUCGGCAUAGCACUGGCUUCCAGCUCUCCCAGCCUGAGAAUCCCGGGGCCACUCUUGAUCUUGACACCAUGCCCAGGAGCCAGCGCCCUCCUCCAGACCUGCCUUUUCCAGUAGGCUCCAGCUCUGUCAAGUGGCUCCACAAAGAGAUUCAAUAACCAACCAGGAUCAGCUGGCCUUCCCAGGAAGGUAGCUGAAGGCUUGGGCUCUGUCAGAGGAAUGGAGUCUAACGGAUGACAGCGUGCCCUCCUGAUGCAAGUUCCUUCUUACUGACACAAGACCAGUCACCCGGGACAGCCAACCUUCCUUCCUUUUCUCCUUCCUUCCUUCCAUAAACAGCCACUGAGGAGAAUGGGGAGCAGCCCUUCCGCUGGAGGUGGGGAGUGGAGGGCGCAGGUCUGUCUCUUUUAGGUACCUUCCUGCUGUGCUCUUAGCCCCAGUAAAACCUGCUCUCUGCAAGGGACCUGAUGGUUCACCAGUGACUCAGAAGGCAGCUGAGGUGCUCUGGGAGAAGCAUCAUGCAUGGAAGAUCUGGCUCUGAGACCUUCCUGGGCCAUUACGAAACAGACGAAGAUAACUUGGGAGACGGAGCCUAGAAAAUGGCUUGACAUAAAGCAUGCGAAUCAUUUAGCACUAUUGAAGUGUAAAAGGUCAUAUUACUCCUGGCUUAGGCUUCCUCAUCUUUGCGCACACCCAGGCCGAGGACUUCAGUAUUGUCAACUCCUUCUGCUUUUGAUUUCAUGCCCCCAGCACCGCGCAGCCAUCAGAUCCCAUCUACUCUGUCUGUGGAAGUACCUCUCAGAUCCAUCUAGUCACUUUAACAAUGAUUAACCCACCCAAUGACAGGGCUCCAGGCAACUCUCUCAUUUGCUGCUGAGUGUAAUUUAGAACAACUUUUCUGGAGGGAAAUUUGGAAAUGUAUUUCAAUAAUCUUUAAAAUAGUUCUAUUGAUGCUUUUGACUCAGCAGUUGCACCCUAUGAAUAAGGGGGGGGGUAAAAGAUAAGAACAAAGACAUUUUUUAGAAAGCAAGAACGCGUACAACAAUGACAGGUUUUAAAAUAAUAUUUAA